CACCCAUCUAUUCACUCAACCCUGGGCUGCUCUUAGAACAAGAUUUCCAUACCAACUAUUUGCAUUGUUAGUUGCAUCAUUUAACAUCUUUGUUAUGCAUGUUUUUAAAAGAGAGACAUACACAGACUAUAGUGUACAUUCCAUUUAUUUUAGGGCAUUUGUUUAGAUUGCAAUAUUUGUGCUAUACCAGAUGGAUUCAGUGAGAUGUGUUUGUUGAAAUAGUUUGAGAUUAAAGCUAGAAUCCUUAAUUGAAACAAUAACAAAGCAGUCACCCUGCCUGUGUUUUGGUAAAACGCUGAAGGAUGGGCCUGGAGAAAUGUAACCGCUCUCAAACUCAGAGCUAUUAAUGCAAGGACUGAACAUCCAUGAUAUCAACAAUAUAGUUGAACUAAGGCAUUUAUAAGAUAUUCAAGAAUCAAUGGGUAUAUAUCAUUUAUAAAUCCCAAAAUGGAUGUAGCAACUAUAGAUUCCCACUUUAACUUCAAUGAAAAUGAUACAAUCUCCCAGAAAUGUUCACAGCAGAGCCCAUAGGGGCCACUGGAACCAGUUGGUUGAAAUUCUAUUAUUUCUGUACCAGGCAGUGAAAAUUGAGUAACACAUUUGGUGAUAACAUUCAACAUCAGAAGAGAUUACUCCCCUAGAAUUCUAUUCAGAAUGUGAACUGUAUUUCCAGGAAGAAUCAAGAGGUUGCACAAAUCAUUUCUAAUGAACUCAAGCUUUGGUCUAACAACAAUCAUGAUAAAGAUGGGAUAGAAACUUAAAAUGCCAACAGACUCAAAUGACUGACGUUCCCAAUGUACACUGUUCAAGAAACUUCAAGGCAGCAGUCAUUCUGUUGGGCUGAGAAUUUACCCAGGAUUACAUGCUCUAACAAAGAUAGGAAAGCCACCAAGCAAUAUGCAAAGUCACCCUUCAGCAUUAAGUAAACAUUAGGCCCAGUGUAUAAAACACAUACGGUAUUAGUGAAAGGGACAACAUACUGUACAUGUUCUACACCAUCCAUACGCCAUAUGUUCUGGUAUAGGAUACUGGCCUAGCUAAAUCACAUAGGAUACUGGCCUAGCUAAAUCACAUAAGAUACAAUAUUAAAAAAACAUUCCAAUUCAAACAGUGAGUUUUUCCCCGUAUGGACACACUUAGCAAAAAAACGACAGAGCGUGACGAGUUAUUCACAGAUUGUGUAUACUAAGCACGUCAGAAAUACAGUUGUGUACAGGAAACAAACUUUCAUUUCUACUGUAUGAUUUAAAUCAGAUGUUUAAAACUGCCACCUGGUUUCAGAAUGUAUGUCACUAUCGUGUGGAUGUCAUGUGGGUCACAAGCCAGCUUGGAGGGCACGUCACCUACAACAAGCUCAAGUGGGAGGCCAUAUAGAAAUUACAAGGGGAAUGCACAGUGAAAUGGUUGAAAUGUUCCAUUCUGAUCAAGGGGGUGGACAUCCCCCUCGACAAGAGAACAAACUACCUUCUGGAAUGUUCCUUCGAUGCAGUUGAUUUAAUGAGUGGCAUAAUUCCAGGAUAGAUCACUGGAAAGCCCCGUAAUGGUCAGGGUGUUUCGAAUUUCAACAACAACCCGUGUUACUAACAGACUCUUCCCGCUGACUAAUAGUUUGGGUUUUUCAGAGUAGGUGCUAGUAAAUUGUGUAUCACAGUGACCAGCUACAGGGACCUGCUAAAAUAAAAGGAAACACUUGAGUAAAUGAGGGUACUUAUUGGCAGCUCUGUUAUGGUGUGGAGGUGCAUUUUCCUGGCAUGGUUUAGGUCCACUCAACCCCAUGGAGGACAAGGUAAACUCCAAUAAAUACACAGCCAUUCUGAGUGAUCACCUUCUACCUACUGUAGGGUGAAACAGAUCUACCCUGAUGGGAGUGGUCUCUUCCAGGAUUACAAUGACCCAUCCACUGGGCACAAGUGGUCACAAUGGUUUGAUGAGCAUGAAAAGGAUGUAAGCCAUAUGCCACGGCCGUCUCAGUCACCAGAUCUCAACCUUAUUGAACACUUAUAGGAGAUUCUGGAGCGGAGCCUGAGACAGCGUUUUCCACCACCAUCAACAAAACACCAAAUGAUGGAAUUUCUGGUGGAAAAAAAUGGUGUAGCAUCCCUCCAAGCGUUCCAGAUACUUGUAGAAUCUAUGCCAAGGUGCAUUGAAGCGGUUCUGGCUCGUGGUGCCCAAUGCCCUAUUAAGACACCAUGUUGGGGUUUCCUUUAUUUUGGCAGUUACCUGUAUGCUUGCAACUGGGUAGCAGUCCAAAUGGGGUUCUAUGGCAACUGGGUAGCAGUCCAAAUGGGGUUCUAUGGCAACUGGGUAGCAGUCCAAAUGGGGUUCUAUGGCAACUGGGUAGCAGUCCAAAUGGGGUUCUAUGGCAACUGGGUAGCAGUCCAAAUGGGGUUCUAUGGCAACUGGGUAGCAGUCCAAAUGGGGUUCUAUGGCAACUGGGUAGCAGUCCAAAUGGGGCUCUAUAGCAACUGGUACAAUCAAAAUAACACUACUCAGUACUGGCAUCUAAACAGCAACAAAAUCACAUAGCAUUUUGCACUUAUAAACACACACAAAGACACCUUUAACUAUGCACUGUGGGAAAAUAAAGGUGCAUCCUCAUUCAUUAGACAGAUACGCAAGAUAUUUUGGAUACUAUUUGUUUGGCAGUAGGUCAAUGGUUUACAACAUUCAGGUGAUCCUUGAGAACAUAAUCUUCACUUCCUGAAAUGGAAUCAGCCAUGUUAGUCAACAAAUUUUGCUAAACACUCUCACCGGCCCUCUCACACACGCUUGCUGGCCGUGACACAGAAACGUUGUUGGCUGAAAUACAGUGGAAGUCCAAAGUCCAUCAGAAAGACAAAUACUUUUCUUUAAAAAGCAUCAAAAACAUCAGUCCAUCCUCCUCUGAGCAGGGCGAUUCUUGUGGUGACCACAGAAAGGGCAUCGUCCUGUUUGGCUAAAUGGAUCCUGCAGACGUCAGGAAGAGCCUCUCUGCUCUCUAUUAGGUCCGCUCUCAGGUUUGCCAAGUGCUCCAUUAGAAACAGGUUACGCUGCAGUGACUGCUUUUGAUUUGGGAUGAGAGGGGCGCAUAGAGGAGGAUGGAAAUGGUUCUCCAUGCCUACAGAGAGAAGUGAAAACUGUUAAUUCUACAAGUCCAGAGAAGGGUGAAGGUGGUUAGUUCCAGAAGUGAAGGUGGUUAGUUCCAGAAGUGAAGGUGAAGUGAAGGUGGUUAGUUCCAGAAGUGAAGGUGGUCAGUUCCAGAAGUGAAGGUGGUCAGUUCCAGAAGUGAAGGUGGUCAGUUCCAGAAGUGAAGGUCAGUUCCAGAAGUGAAGGUCAGUUCCAGAGAAGCUAUUGCAUUGCAGAUAUGGCGAUAGCUUCAUUAACUGGGUACUUACUUGGUAGGCAGCAGCUAUAACAUGCUCCUGCAGCCGUUGGCACUGGGUCCUUUCGACCUCAUCUUAUCCUGGACCGGCCCUGACUGCAGGACAGGAAGAUUACGACUGUUAGAGUUUCUACAGAUACUUAGUCAUUUUCAUAUCAAAAGGCAGGUCAUAACCUCUUCAUGAUAACAUAUGGAUGGAGAGGCAGGAUCCGAAGCCAGAAUUAGAACUAUGAUUUCAUGUGUUGUUUCUAUACUGUAUCAUUUUAUGUAACAUAUUUAACAGUCCGUUUCUGUGGUGUUCAUAUGAAACAUGAUCCCAUUUGGACUGCUGACAACAUUUGAUCCAUUUGGCCAGCAGCAUUACUCAUAACCUACGUCUUUACAUAAUGAUGAGUGACCAUAUGAUGGGGAUGGAGUGAGGAGGAAUGGGACUUGCUUUAGGCUGUGGUUUUUUUUCUCCUUUACUUUUUAACGGCGCAGUUCAGAGUUGGAUGAAUGCACAGGUGUGGAUCAAUUAUUCUGACGUCAGGCGUUGCAGAAACGGCAUGUGCUUGACGAACACUACAAUAACUACAGUCUGACAGCUAUGGGUCAUAACAGAACAAUGGACAUUAGAGGGUUACGCAAUAGCAGCUGAGGAAAUGGAAUUAUGUAAUACGUUUCAGUAACAUACUCCUCACCUGACUGUUCUCAGCCCACCUCCUGAUACAAUGUGGAAAUGUGUCAUUUCAUUCAAAAGAUCUGGUGACUUUCACAACUGGAGGUCAUGAUCACGAUGGAACAGUCAGUUUAUCAGUGAGACAUUUUACAUAUCAGUCAUUUAGCAGAGCGACACAGUAGUCCAUACAUUUCAGUCAUUUAGCAGAGCGACACAGUAGUCCAUACAUUUCAGUCAUUUAGCAGAGUGACACAGUAGUCCAUACAUUUUAGUACUGAUAUCAACAUCAUGUAAUACAUUCAGAAAUGGACCAUCACUCAAUUUAACCUACUUUCCAUACAGUGAUUUAAACAGUGACCAGACUAGUGAUUGGCUAGUCUUCUGAUAGUACUGUAUACACUUUAUCCAUCAUAGCGUAACAGGUUUCAAACUAAAGUUAAUAUCCAUAUCCUACUAAUAGGUGAACGAAUUGAGACACAUUUCCUCCUCUCAUUCCCUGUCCAAUGAGACUGUAUUCCGUGGGAAACCAGGCCAACAUUUCCCAGCGUUUCUACAUUUCCUCCUCUCAUUCCCUGUCCAAUGAGACUGUAUUCCGUGGGAAACCAGGCCAACAUUCCUAGCGGCAGGUUGGAAGCUGCAAAGCCCAGCCCAUGUACUGAGGAGUAACACACUUGCAACACACACACACUACACCACCUUCACAAUAUCGCGACACAUUUUAAGACACACCAGCCCCAGUCAGUCUAGGUAUCAUCUCUCUUACCGGGGCCCGGCCCUCUGCCAUCUCCCCAGAGCCAAUGUGUGUCAAGUGGACAAAGUUUGUGGGCUCGCCGAUCAUGCUGCGGUCGAUUUUCCUGCGCCUCUUUCUCUGGAAAUAAUAGAAAAUAUAUAGAAAUAGAAAAUGGGGACAGACAGAUAUUAUGCAAUCAAGCCCAGUGGAAGAAAAGAACUUACAGACUUUACAGUACACACACAUAAUGCAUUUUGUAACCUGAAUGGGAUGAUCUUCGAUAAGAGUUUUGAUCUUCUACUUGUUAUUUCAUACUCAAUGGCAGCAGGUCAGGUCGCCUAGCGGCAGGUCAGGUCGCCUAGCGGCAGGUCAGGUCCAGGUCAGGUCGCCUAGCGGCAGGUCAGGUCCAGGUCAGGUCGCCUAGCGGCAGGUCAGGUCCAGGUCAGGUCGCCUAGCGGCAGGUCAGGUCCAGGUCAGGUCGCCUAGCGGCAGGUCAGGUCCAGGUCAGGUCGCCUAGCGGCAGGUCAGGUCACCUAGCGGCAGGUCAGGUCAGGUCGCCUAGCGGCAGGUCAGGUCCAGGUCAGGUCGCCUAGCGGCAGGUCAGGUCCAGGUCAGGUCGCCUAG
This 5373-nucleotide long non-coding RNA is filed under the name Salmo salar (Atlantic salmon). RNAcentral describes it as "lncRNA (ENSSSAG00000121467.1)". The record is from RNAcentral. Lineage: Eukaryota; Metazoa; Chordata; Actinopteri; Salmoniformes; Salmonidae.